UGCCAGCCGCCGCGGUAAUACGGAGGGGGUUAGCGUUGUUCGGAAUUACUGGGCGUAAAGCGCGCGUAGGUGGCCAAGUCAGUCAGAUGUGAAAGCCCUGGGCUCAACCUGGGAACUGCAUUCGAUACUGGCCAACUAGAGUACGGGAGAGGGAGGUAGAAUUCCACGUGUAGCGGUGAAAUGCGUAGAUAUGUGGAGGAAUACCGGUGGCGAAGGCGGCCUCCUGGCUCGAUACUGACGCUGAGGUGCGAAAGCGUGGGGAGCAAACAGGAUUAGAUA
RNAcentral lists this ribosomal RNA (279 nucleotides) under uncultured bacterium. RNAcentral describes it as "partial 16S ribosomal RNA". It matches the Rfam family "Bacterial small subunit ribosomal RNA", at positions 506 to 784 of the family's 1533-position model. The record is from RNAcentral.